RNAcentral lists this ribosomal RNA (334 nucleotides) under uncultured bacterium. RNAcentral's name for it is "bacterial SSU rRNA". It matches the Rfam family "Bacterial small subunit ribosomal RNA", at positions 568 to 899 of the family's 1533-position model. The record is from RNAcentral.
CGUGUAGGCGGCUCAUCAAGUCUGGUGUGAAAUCGCAGGGCUUAACCCUGCAUAUGCGCUGGAAACUGGUGGGCUUGAGUUCUUGAGGGGAAGCUGGAAUUCCAGGUGUAGGGGUGAAAUCUGUAGAUAUCUGGAAGAACACCGGUGGCGAAGGCGAGCUUCUAUCAGAGGACUGACGCUGAGGCGCGAAAGCGUGGGGAGCAAACAGGAUUAGAUACCCUGGUAGUCCACGCUGUAAACGAUGUGCACUAGGCGUGGGGCACGUACGUGUUCUGUGCCGUAGUUAACGUGAUAAGUGCACCGGCCUGGGGAGUAUGCUCGACGAAGGGUAGAA